Molecule: ribosomal RNA, 254 nt
Filed under: uncultured archaeon
Lineage: Archaea
Description: partial 16S ribosomal RNA
Rfam family: Archaeal small subunit ribosomal RNA
Source: RNAcentral
UCCCAGCGGUCCAAGUAGCAGCCGCGUUUAUUGGGUCUAAAACAUCCGUAGCUCGUUUCGUAAGUCUUGUGUUAAAUCUGGCAUCUCAAGUGUCAGGCACGCACAAGAUACUGCGGGGCUAGAGACCGGGAGGCGUAAGAAGUACGGUUAGGGUAGCGGUAAAAUGCGUUGAUCCUUACUGGACUAACGAUAGCGAAGGCAUCUUACGAGAACGGAUCUGACAGUGAGGUAUGAAGGCUAGGGGCGCAAAACGG